CCUACGGGAGGCAGCAGUGAGGAAUAUUGGUCAAUGGGCGGGAGCCUGAACCAGCCAAGUCGCGUGAGGGAAGACGGUCCUAUGGAUUGUAAACCUCUUUAGGCGGGGAGCAAUGCCGGGCACGCGUGCCCGGAGGGUGAGUACCCGCAGAAUAAGCAUCUGCUAACUCCUUGACAUCAGACGCGGUAAUACGGGGGAUGAGAGCGUUAUCCGGAUUUAUUGGGUUUAAAGGGUGAGUAGGCGGAUUUUUAAGUCAGCGGUAAAAUGUCAGGGCUAAAACAGGGCGGGAAGUUGAAAAUGGGGAUAUUGAGUGGGAGAGAAGUAGGAGGAAUGAGUGGUGUAGAGGUGAAAUGAAUAGAUAUAAAGAAGAAAUAAGAUUGAGAAGGAAGAAUAAAGGAGAAAGAAUGAAGAUGAGGAAUGAAAGAGUGGGGAUAGAAAAGGAUUAGAUAAAAUGUAGGC
Molecule: ribosomal RNA, 459 nt
Filed under: uncultured bacterium
Lineage: Bacteria
Description: partial 16S ribosomal RNA
Rfam family: Bacterial small subunit ribosomal RNA
Source: RNAcentral